UACGGGGGGGGCAAGCGUUGUUCGGAAUUACUGGGCGUAAAGGGCUCGUAGGCGGCCAACUAAGUCAGACGUGAAAUCCCUCGGCUUAACCGGGGAACUGCGUCUGAUACUGGAUGGCUUGAAUCCGGGAGAGGGAUGCGGAAUUCCAGGUGUAGCGGUGAAAUGCGUAGAUAUCGGGAGGAACACCUGAGGCGAAGGCGGGCUACUGGGCCGAUACUGACGCUGAUGCGCGAAAGCCAGGGGAGCGAACGGG
Molecule: ribosomal RNA, 253 nt
Filed under: uncultured bacterium
Lineage: Bacteria
Description: partial 16S ribosomal RNA
Rfam family: Bacterial small subunit ribosomal RNA
Source: RNAcentral